AUUUAGGUUCCUAAUUUUUUAAUCCAUUCUGAGUCAGGAGUUUAGCUUUUAAGAAAAAGUGGUAAAGUAGUAUAUUUUAUGUUGUCCCUCUGCAUAUUUUAAUACUGUGAUCUUCAAAUCCCUAUGAUGUUUGUCUAAUCUUGAUUAUUUAAUUGGUUAAGUUAGUAACUUUUUUUGAGCUUUCCCAAAAUUAUUCAUGUUUUAAGGUAGUUUGUGUUCCUUUAGUGGUUUUCAUAUUUUGAGGGAGUACAUGUCUGGAGGUGUGGCUAUUCUCUGAUUGUGUUAAGGUUAACAUGAGAAUGAUUGCCCUGUUAUCCUUCUAAUGAAAAGAACUCUUUAUUGAAAUAAUUAACAUGCCAUAAAAGUCAGUACAGUUUAUGACUUUAAAUAAUUUGGUUGUGCAAGAAUGUGAUGGAAAUUUUUUUUUUACUAAUAUGAAUAUUUAGAAUGAGAAAAAAAAUCACAACCUUAAAAACUGAUAAAUAUCACAGUUACAAAAUCCAGAAAAGUAGCUAUUAGGUGUUUGAUGAAUCCCUGUAAUCCUUUUUUCCCUCUGAUUUGUAUUUCUGACAGGUUCACUGAGAUGUAAUUCACAUACCAUCCAAGUCACCCAUUUAAAGUGGCUUUUGGUGCAUUCACAUAGUUGUACAACAAUCAUCAAAAUCAAUCUUAGAACAUUGUCACCAUCCUAGAAAGAAACCAUUCUUCAUUAGCAGUGAUUAUCAGUUUCCUUUUACCCCAACCCCAAGC
This 750-nucleotide long non-coding RNA is filed under the name Marmota monax (woodchuck). Lineage: Eukaryota; Metazoa; Chordata; Mammalia; Rodentia; Sciuridae. The record is from RNAcentral.